CAGCCUAAAAAGGUAACGAUGAACAAGAGGGAGAAAGCUAAGCAGCUUUAUUUAAGUCUCCCCCACUCUCUUCUUGUUGAGCUUAAUUUUUCCGAUCAUUUUCUGGAGUCUCCAUUCUUCCGAAGAAAUUAAUCACAGGCACCUUGUUUCUGCUCUUGGAAACUAUUGCAGAAAAAAUUUACUAAAAGGAAAGCUGUCUUUUAAUGUUAAAGGUAUCUGUCGGUCCUGAAACGAUUCAUGGAGUUAUUAUUUACAAAACUGAAACUUUAACCUGUGAGUUUUUGGAUUUGUGGGAUCAUUGAUGACCUGGAAAUAAUUAAAUGGAGAAAGUUUGCGAAUUCUGCAUGGCCUUGAGGCCAGUCGUUUACUGUAACGCUGAUGCAGCAUAUCUUUGCCUUUCCUGCGAUGCAAAGGUCCAUUCAGCUAAUGCACUUUUUAACCGGCAUCUCCGUACCCUCCUAUGUGACUCAUGCAGGAACCAUCCAGCUUACGCUCAGUGUUUGGACCACCGGAUGCUGAUGUGUCUUGGCUGUGAUCGGUGCCUGCAUGAGGUCUCCUCCCACCAUCAGAAACGGCUAGUCAGUAGCUACUUAGGAUGCCCUUCUGCUAAAGAUUUUGCAUCACUUUGGGGUUUUGAAUUUGGGGAUUUGGAUAAAAGUAUUGUUAAAGAUCAACUAGUUUCCACCCCAUGCUCUUCAUCUGUGCAGCCUAGUGCAUCAAAAUUUGACAUUCCAGGGAAGUCUUGCCAACAAAUUGGACGGUCUUCAAGAAAAUCUAGAGUGAUUCACUCAACUUUGGUCUCUGGUGCAGAGUCUGAUGUUGGAUCAGGCAAUCAACGACCUGAGUUAUCGUACAAAGGUCCACAGCAGGAAAGUACCUGCUUUAUUCUGGAACAGAUUCUUGAUUUGAAAAGGCUUGAUGUCAACAACAAUACUCCUAUGAAACGUGGUCAAGAACAAAAAAACAUUUCUUCAAUGCUGAAUACCUCAAAGAAGCUUGACUACAAUCUCAAUCAUUCACAACAUUCUCAAGAUCUUGUUACCAUUCUUCAACAAGCUGACUGCCAACGUCAGGGUCUAAAAGUGGAUUCUUUGCCUUUGCCAUUUUCUCAGCCAGAACAUUUACCUUUCUUUUCAACUGCCGCAAAUGCUUUGCCUGGAGAAUCCUUUUGGCCAUGCAAAAGUCCAAUAGAGAAUAGUCAGUUGUGGUCUCAAAAUAUGCAAGACCUUGGGGUUUGUGAAGACAUUAUUUGCCAUGAUGAUGAUUAUAUCAUUCCUGAUGUGGAUAAAACAUUUUGCAACUUUGAAGAAUUCUUUGGGGGUGAUCAAGAUCCAAUUGGAGCAUUUCUUGAUGAGAAUGAUUUCUCAUGCUCCUUCAUUGAGAAGGAUAUGCCUCCUGAGAAAUCCAAUAACAGUGAUGGAAGAGCAAGGAAGGAUGCUUCUGUUACUUCAUCUGUUUACAUAAGCUGCUCUGUUCACAUUGACAAUGACAAGGAUCCUUCCAACCAAGCUUAUAACUUUCCUGGAAGUCUUGAUCCUGCUCAGACAAUCAGGUCUCCUUAUUCAAGAUACUCCAUUUCAAGUCAUGAUGCUGAAAGCAGGAGUAAUGAAUAUCUUGACAGUGAACUUUCACCAUAUAUAUCUAAUGGUGAAGCAUCAUGCUAUUCACCCGACCUUGAGGAUGCACAUACAGAGGCCCGAGAAAAUGCAAUGAUGAGGUACAAAGAGAAGAAAAAGGCUCGGAUGCAAGACAAGCAAAUUCGAUAUACUUCUAGGAAACCUAAGAAUGAUGUACGGAAGCGUGGAAAUGGCUGAUUCGCGAAGCUAGAAGAUUGUGGCUGCUACAGUUGAUGUAAAGAUUUUAGGACGGACGAGGUUAGCUGUUGAUAAUGUUGGGCAUGGACAUCUAUAAUAUUUGCAAAACAAGUUUCCCUGUGGCCCUGUGGGCUCGAGAACCCUCCCCUAAGUAGGAUGCAAUACUGGUGUUUAGUUGCAAAUAAAGUAUUACAGUUAGACAAGAGGAAGAAGAUGAAGUUUGUAAUGAGAGAGAAGAUCUUGCUUUACCUUUGGGUUUAAGGUUAUUUAUAUAGCCUUGAACUCCUACUCCUAUUGUGUGUAUGUACAAGGAUAAAGUGUUGUGUACAUACAAGGAUAAAGCGGUCAAUA
This is an RNA transcript of Populus trichocarpa (black cottonwood), 2165 nucleotides long. It is a transcript of the gene named putative zinc finger protein At1g68190, with no coding region annotated. The transcript has 7 exons. Lineage: Eukaryota; Viridiplantae; Streptophyta; Magnoliopsida; Malpighiales; Salicaceae. The record is from RefSeq and is a predicted model, not a curated record.